This is a long non-coding RNA of Equus caballus (horse), 868 nucleotides long. RefSeq lists it as uncharacterized. The record is from RefSeq and is a predicted model, not a curated record. NCBI's taxonomy places the organism in Eukaryota, Metazoa, Chordata, Mammalia, Perissodactyla, Equidae.
CUGAAGUAUGGUUCUGACAUGUGGGGCGUAUCUAGUUGAGUUAGCAGGGCCCAUCUCCAAGAAAUCUACAAAAGUUCUAGGACUUACUGGGAGGCCUCUUACACUUAGAGAGAAAAGAUGAUAGAGAUAAAAGAAGCCAAGAGGACAACACGUUUAGAUAAAGAAGGAGAAAUAAAGUUGGAGCCUUGCCCAGGAGCUCUCUCCCAACAUGGUUCAGCGAAAACAUCUGAGAGAGAUAACAAAGUGAUUUGAAGCAAUUUCCACCAACAAUUUGAGGAAAUUAGAAAAGAUGCCAGAAAACCAUACGGCAACAGAGGGAGAUGAAAUGCGUGGCUUCCCUGGGAGACAAAGAAAGGGAAAGUGCUGGGUUCUCAAGGCCCGUUUAAUGAUCAGCCCUUUAUGCCAUAAGAUCCAAGGCAACAGUAUUUAGACGUCUCAUUCUGACCAAAUGCUACCUGGCCUUUUUCAAUUUCCAAUGGAGGACGUUAAGAAGGAUAUGUGUUGUAGGAGAAAAUGAUCCAGGUUACACUUUCUGAAUGUGGAGGACAUGGACAGAUGGUUUCAAGAGGAAGAUGAAGGGACAUUGGACAUCUGUGUCACCUAUGGUAUAUUCAGUAAUUUCAGCCAUAUCUCAUGUGUGGUAUGAAGCCUAUUUUCCAAAAGAUGCUCAAAACCCAUUAAUAGCUGAGUGACUUUUCCUCACCCAUUGUCUUUGCAUUGGCCAAUUAGCAUCUUUUACAUAUCCAUUCAACAAAUAAACACUGAACACCAACUCUUUAGGAGACACUUAGCUAAGUCUUUUGAAGGAUCCAGUGUUGAACCAGAUGUUCAUCUUGCCUUUAAAAGGAACUCAGUCCUUUUACCCAUG